UGUGAUUCUCCAGGACAAGAAACAUCCUGGGAGAAGAAACAUCUGCUCAGUUCCUCAUUGUUCUUGGACUGACUAACAUCUUGUUUGCCAGAGAUGUACUGAACUUUCUGCAAGUCAUCUGUUACAUUUGUUUCUCCAGAUGUACUGAAUAAAAGGAGACCAGGACUAACUGCAGAGGUUCUGGUAACGUCCCCUUCCCCUGUCCCCUACAUUUGGCACCCAACGUGGAUAUGAAUCGGAUCCAGGGGUGAACUCGCCUGUGAGACAAACUUGGAGUAAGAGAGACAGCACAUGGAUCUCCCAGGACGAUUUCCGGACUAGGACGAGGGACACCGGUGGUAAGUGUGUCCAGCUGGGGGGUAAUUUUCUAUCUUUGCUGAGUUAUAACUAUGGGUCAGUCUCUGUCAACAGAACAGCAUAACUUUGCCAAAUUACUUAAGUCGCUGUUAAAGCAAGCUAUGUACCCAGUACGUAAGGGUGCUGUGAAGAUUUGUUAAAAGACAUGCAAAUGUAUGUCCCAUCUUUUCCCCAGGAAGGGACAGCUUAACUUAAUAUCAUGGGAACAUGUAGGUACCGCUCUCUGUGAGGCCUGGCAAAGGGGUAAUUGUCUCUCCCCUGACCGCUCCCCACUUGGGUCUUAGUCCACUGAGGUCAGAGUUGCUAGCCAUUAUAUUUGUGAUUGAAAACUUCCCUCCCCAAGCUCUUAAUAUUUUAAAUGAUUCCUCUUACACAGUUUGGUUGACUCAAAGACUAAGGAGCUAUGGUCUACUCUACCUUAGAACCUAAAUUAUUAAACUUGUUUUUAAGAUUACAAAAGGCCAUAUGUCAAAAAAUUUCUCCUGCCUUAAUAACGUGGGGGAGAGGUUUUGCCUGUGCCCUAACAGAUAAUGAAAACAUCUUGUGGCUGUCCUCCUGGAAUGUGAGACUGUGGGUCACGCUGGUGGAACUGCCAACAUCUCACAGAAUCAGUGAUAGCACCCUGGCUGAAAGCGAUGAGCCAGCUGCACCUCAGGGACCCACCUCACCAGCGACAACCAACAAAUCCAUGGCAGGGUCCAGGACUGAGAUGAUGCCCCCAGAGGAAUGAUAAUUAUACAUUUAUGGUAAAAAAUUUAUGAAGGUGGGGGACAACUUCAAAAUGCUCCUUUUAUAUUUACAGGUAUAAAAGCACUUUCAUUCCUUCUGAUUCUAAUCUCGAGAUCUCUGUUAAUUGACUAUUCCAAAGUUUUUGACCAGUCAUACAAUUAUAAAUCUAAUAAUCAUAAAAAGGAUAUUACGAUUCAAUUUGGCUAAAUAUAUUUGAGUGCACUCUAAUUUUGUAAAUUGUCUUAUAU
This 1334-nucleotide long non-coding RNA is filed under the name Heterocephalus glaber (naked mole-rat). Its description in RNAcentral is "lncRNA (ENSHGLG00000043914.1)". Lineage: Eukaryota; Metazoa; Chordata; Mammalia; Rodentia; Bathyergidae. The record is from RNAcentral.